GAUGAACGCUGGCGGCGUGCCUAAUACAUGCAAGUCGAGCGAACGGACGAGAAUCUUGCUUCUCUGAUGUUAGCGGCGGACGGGUGAGUAACACGUGGAUAACCUACCUAUAAGACUGAGAUAACUUCGGGAAACCGGAGCUAAUACCGGAUGAUAUUUUGAACCGCAUGGUUCAUCAGUGAAAGACGGUCUUGCUGUCACUUAUAGAUGGAUCCGCGCUGCAUUAGCUAGUUGGUAAGGUAACGGCUUACCAAGGCAACGAUGCAUAGCCGACCUGAGAGGGGGAUAGGGCACACUGAAACUGAGACGCGGUCCAGACUCCUACGGGAGGCAGCAGUAGGGAAUCUUGCGAAAUGGGCGAAAGCUUGACGGAGCAACGCCGCGUGAGUGAUGAAGGUCUCCGGAUCGUAAAACUCUGUUAUUAGGGAAGAACAUAUGUGUAAGUAACUGUGCAGAUCUGGAGGGUACCUAAUCAGAAAGCCACGGCUAACUAGGU
RNAcentral lists this ribosomal RNA (496 nucleotides) under uncultured bacterium. Its description in RNAcentral is "partial 16S ribosomal RNA". It matches the Rfam family "Bacterial small subunit ribosomal RNA", at positions 28 to 506 of the family's 1533-position model. The record is from RNAcentral.